ACAUGUGCACAAAUGUGUGUGUGUGUUCAGUCCACAUGUGGCUUCUGUGAUUUGUUUCAUGCUUUAAAAGUACUCCUUAAAAUUGUAACAUUUGCCAGUUACCCCCCCCCUCCCCGGAGCUGGGACGGAACCCCCAGGGCCUUGCACUUGCUAGGCAAGUGCUCUACCACUGAGCUAAAUCCCCAACCCCUGCCAGUUACAUUUUGUUCAUUUUUCUUGUUCCUGUGCUGCUGGGAAUCCAACCCUGUGGAGUGUCAAGGGCAAGUGCUCUCUACUAAUCUUUACUAUUACUUUCAUGAUUUUCUUUUGCCCCUUUUAAAUCAUAUUUAACUCUUUAUAUUUUUUUAAAUAAAAAAUUGUAUUUACUUAGAAGUAGUCAGAAUAUCAACAAAACGGCCACUUUUUUUUUUUUUUUUUUGCAAUCACAGAGUGGUAUUCAGUGAACUGAACAAGAGUUAUCUUCCUAUAAGCUGCAUCAGAGACCACUGAAGAUGAAAAAAACACCAAAAAAUAAAACCAAAAGAGAAUAAAAAAAAAAAAA
Molecule: long non-coding RNA, 541 nt
Filed under: Rattus norvegicus (Norway rat)
Lineage: Eukaryota; Metazoa; Chordata; Mammalia; Rodentia; Muridae
Description: long non-coding RNA NONRATT013207
Source: RNAcentral